Molecule: long non-coding RNA, 1325 nt
Organism: Musa acuminata AAA Group (dessert banana)
Lineage: Eukaryota; Viridiplantae; Streptophyta; Magnoliopsida; Zingiberales; Musaceae
Exons: 2
Source: RefSeq, a predicted model, not a curated record
CUUUGUUGGUGUCCUUUAGAAUUUCUUUCAUAUAGAUAGUUGAUGUUAUUUGUGCACAUGCAUUCUUUUGUAUUUGGCAAGUCAUUAAAAUUGAUUUAUGCUGAAACAUUCUAUUUCCAAACGAUAUGCUUCUAUCUUACUUAGGUGAGGUCCUUUUUUUUUUUAUUGCUCCAUUUCUGAAUUGGUAUGCGUAAACCCAUAUAUAUUUCAAGUUCAUUACACUCCAACUUUGUUAUCCCCGUCAGUUGUUUUUCCUUGAACCUUUACUUUCUUCUCAUUAUUGGUUGCAAUUUGUAAAAGUUUAAAGCAUUGGUUACUGAUUGCCUUGUUGUUACUAUCCAGACAAUGGCAUAUGUGGCUAUAUCUUUCCUUUUAGCAAUUAGCACACUCAGUUAUCAUUUUUCUCGUACUUGAUUCUUAUGCUUAAAUGCUGCCAUCCGAAUGUAACAAGCAAUUUAAUAUAGAAGACCUUGUACAUGCUAAAUCAGAAAAAUGAAAUAUUUAAUUGCCAGAUUAAACUGAAGCAGAACACAGAUCAAAAGUUUUUUUCUUGUAUAAAAAAUUUGUAGAUAUUAUAUUAUGUGUGGUUCCCCUGUUAUUUACUUGAUACAAAUGAUUUAACAUUUAAGUGAUUCCAGACUAGGAAAUUUUAUUAAGAGUUCCUUUAUCAAGCUUUAGAGGACUGUUGAGUGAAAAUCGAAUAUUAAAUAUAGUAUUUAUGUAAGUAUUUUUUGGUGAAUUAAGAGAACUGAUAUGUUUGUUGAGCUGAUUCUUAAGGCAUGGCUUGAGGGGAUGCAAGACAUGCGAAGUAUUAGACUAUUAGUUUUUUUUUUGGCAAAGGAUAAGUGACGAAGGCAGGAUUCAAGCUCAAGACCUUGUGAUAUACUAUCAAAGCCUUUACCACCAGCUAAGCUAGCUAACACCUUCGAAGUGUUAGUUUUAUACUCCUAUAGAUAUGAAACAGAGUUAUGUAAUGGUGUCAUUGUGAACAUUAAACAAGAUACUUAAAGCUCUUCUUCAGUCAGGUCCAACAUGAUCGGCUGAUUAUCUUCCAAUGUACCAUUGCAUUUGCAUAUGCAAGAAAAGUUAAUUACUUUAUUUUCUAGAAAAAAUCAUUAUCAUCUUGGCAAUCUCCUAAUAUCAACACAGGUUUCUACUUUGGAUUGAUGUUAUCGUUGAUCAUGUUCUCUCCUUUCUUGUCCUAACUAUUUAGAAAGCCGCUAGAGAAGAGCAUGAAGAAUCUUCAUUGAUAAUGGAGGUACAAACAUCAUGCAGAGUUGAUGAGAAAGAAAAGGAGAUUGCCCAUAGCUUCAUGCAAUUAAAAU